RNAcentral lists this ribosomal RNA (253 nucleotides) under uncultured bacterium. RNAcentral's name for it is "partial 16S ribosomal RNA". It matches the Rfam family "Bacterial small subunit ribosomal RNA", at positions 524 to 776 of the family's 1533-position model. The record is from RNAcentral.
UACGUAGGGUGCAAGCGUUGUCCGGAAUUACUGGGCGUAAAGCGCGCGUAGGCGGCUUUUCAAGUCGAUUGUGAAAUCCCCGGGCUUAACCUGGGAACUGCAGUCGAGACUGUCUAGCUAGAGUAUGGGAGAGGGAAGUGGAAUUUCAGGUGUAGCGGUGAAAUGCGUAGAUAUCUGAAGGAACAUCAGUGGCGAAAGCGACUUCCUGGACCAAUACUGACGCUCAUGUGCGAAAGCGUGGGGAGCAAACAGG